UACGUAGGUCCCGAGCGUUGUCCGGAUUUAUUGGGCGUAAAGCGAGCGCAGGUGGUUUAUUAAGUCUGGUGUAAAAGGCAGUGGCUCAACCAUUGUAUGCAUUGGAAACUGGUAGACUUGAGUGCAGGAGAGGAAAGUGGAAUUCCAUGUGUAGCGGUGAAAUGCGUAGAUAUAUGGAGGAACACCGGUGGCGAAAGCGGCUCUCUGGCCUGUAACUGACACUGAGGCUCGAAAGCGUGGGUAGCAAACAGG
RNAcentral lists this ribosomal RNA (252 nucleotides) under uncultured bacterium. RNAcentral describes it as "partial 16S ribosomal RNA". It matches the Rfam family "Bacterial small subunit ribosomal RNA", at positions 524 to 776 of the family's 1533-position model. The record is from RNAcentral.